GAUGAACGCUGGCGGCGUGCCUAAUACAUGCAAGUCGAGCGAACGGACGAGAAGCUUGCUUCUCUGAUGUUAGCGGCGGACGGGUGAGUAACACGUGGAUAACCUACCUAUAAGACUGGGAUAACUUCGGGAAACCGGAGCUAAUACCGGAUAAUAUUUUGAACCGCAUGGUUCAAAAGUGAAAGACGGUCUUGCUGUCACUUAUAGAUGGAUCCGCGCUGCAUUAGCUAGUUGGUAAGGUAACGGCUUACCAAGGCAACGAUGCAUAGCCGACCUGAGAGGGUGAUCGGCCACACUGGAACUGAGACACGGUCCAGACUCCUACGGGAGGCAGCAGUAGGGAAUCUUCCGCAAUGGGCGAAAGCCUGACGGAGCAACGCCGCGUGAGUGAUGAAGGUCUUCGGAUCGUAAAACUCUGUUAUUAGGGAAGAACAUAUGUGUAAGUAACUGUGCACAUCUUGACGGUACCUAAUCAGAAAGCCACGGCUAACUACGUGCCAGCAGCCGCGGUAAUACGUAGGUGGCAAGCGUUAUCCGGAAUUAUUGGGCGUAAAGCGCGCGUAGGCGGUUUUUUAAGUCUGAUGUGAAAGCCCACGGCUCAACCGUGGAGGGUCAUUGGAAACUGGAAAACUUGAGUGCAGAAGAGGAAAGUGGAAUUCCAUGUGUAGCGGUGAAAUGCGCAGAGAUAUGGAGGAACACCAGUGGCGAAGGCGACUUUCUGGUCUGUAACUGACGCUGAUGUGCGAAAGCGUGGGGAUCAAACAGGAUUAGAUACCCUGGUAGUCCACGCCGUAAACGAUGAGUGCUAAGUGUUAGGGGGUUUCCGCCCCUUAGUGCUGCAGCUAACGCAUUAAGCACUCCGCCUGGGGAGUACGACCGCAAGGUUGAAACUCAAAGGAAUUGACGGGGACCCGCACAAGCGGUGGAGCAUGUGGUUUAAUUCGAAGCAACGCGAAGAACCUUACCAAAUCUUGACAUCCUUUGACAACUCUAGAGAUAGAGCUUUCCCCUUCGGGGGACAAAGUGACAGGUGGUGCAUGGUUGUCGUCAGCUCGUGUCGUGAGAUGUUGGGUUAAGUCCCGCAACGAGCGCAACCCUUAAGCUUAGUUGCCAUCAUUAAGUUGGGCACUCUAAGUUGACUGCCGGUGACAAACCGGAGGAAGGUGGGGAUGACGUCAAAUCAUCAUGCCCCUUAUGAUUUGGGCUACACACGUGCUACAAUGGACAAUACAAAGGGCAGCGAAACCGUGAGGUCAAGCAAAUCCCAUAAAGUUGUCCUCAGUUCGGAUUGUAGUCUGCAACUCGACUACAUGAAGCUGGAAUCGCUAGUAAUCGUAGAUCAGCAUGCUACGGUGAAUACGUUUCCGGGUC
RNAcentral lists this ribosomal RNA (1371 nucleotides) under uncultured bacterium. Its description in RNAcentral is "16S ribosomal RNA". It matches the Rfam family "Bacterial small subunit ribosomal RNA", at positions 28 to 1380 of the family's 1533-position model. The record is from RNAcentral.